Molecule: long non-coding RNA, 126 nt
Organism: Etheostoma cragini (Arkansas darter)
Lineage: Eukaryota; Metazoa; Chordata; Actinopteri; Perciformes; Percidae
Exons: 3
Source: RefSeq, a predicted model, not a curated record
GGAGGGCAACGCUGUCAACCAACCUAAGCAGAGUGAGGGAAAGGGGUGUGGUGGCAGGGGAGGGUGUGUGUUGUGUGUGUGUGUGUGUGUGCGUGUUGUGUGUGUGUGUGUGUGUGUGUGUGUGUG